UUUCAGACGCGGAUGCAGAGCUUGCAGCCGGAGCCUGCCGCCCGCUACCGGAACGUGCUCGAGGCCCUGUGGCGGAUUGUCCAGACGGAGGGUUUCUGGAGGCCGAUGCGGGGCAUGAACAUCACAGCCACGGGGGCUGGCCCUGCCCACGCCUUGUAUUUCGCCUGCUAUGAAAAGUUAAAAAAGACAUUGAGUGAUGUCAUCCAUGCUGGGGGCAAUAGCCAUGUGGCCAACGGUAUUGAUCCUUCCUGCACCGCCAUCCCUGAUGGGCUAGAGCAGCUGAGAGCGGCCCUGCUGGCUGGGGUGGUAAAGUCAUUGGCAUCCCCAGAAGUCUGGGCCCCUGUGUUCCCCCAGCAUGAGUCGGUAGAACUCAGACUGGCUGUCAGUGGUUCUUUUCCCCUGUCUGCCAUCUCCCAGACACUGCCCUGACCCGUACUGCUCUGUACCAGCCCUGCGGGCUUCCCAGUGGCUGUGCAGCAGUGGCUGCAGUUCACCCAGGGAGAGUAUGCGUGGCACUGGUGGUGCUUGCUACCUAUUUAGACCUAGUUCUGGAGCCAGGUGCAGCAAUGGGGAAAACAGAUGUGUCCCAGUAAAUGGAGGGGGGGGGUGCUAGUUCUUUGGGCAGUGAGAAAGAGGAUCUGCCCCACAUAGGGUAGGGCUUGCUUGCCGUGUCUAUCUUCAGGGUGCUGUUAUGGCACCCAUUUCCUCUGCAGCCUGGGGCGGGGUUUCCUUGGUGAUGGUAGUGAACAGCCAGGGAGACAGGGUUGAUAGGAAUGGCUGGGCUGACACCUAAUCCCACCACACCAAAGCAGUCAGUUUCAGGAUGGUGCAGGUGGCCUAUAGCAAUGUCCUCUCGCCAGUCACUAGCUAGCACCCAUCUUCACAGUGCUCUCUUCCACUCCACCCGUCCCUCCCACCCGGCGCUGGGCAGGGGGAGUGUUGUACUCAUGCUGCACCUCUUCGUAGACCUGUCUGAGCUGUUCCUAGGUAUCUGGCUUUGAGGAACAGGUUAGUGGGGCUGGGAGCUGGUCAACACCUGCCCCUUGCUCACAGCAACACCUGUGGAUGGGAGCUGCCUGCAGGACUCCCCUCGUCUCUGAGCUGGGAUUGACUGCAGCCUUGUGGGUGCAGCAGGGUGUGUAGCAACAUUGCUCCAUGAUGCAGCUAUGAACCCUGUGGAAGUGGUCAAGCAGAGGAUGCAGAUGUACAACUCCCCAUACCAGCGGGUGCCGGCCUGUGUGCGAGCCGCAUGGCGCAACGAAGGGGCU
Molecule: non-coding RNA, 1268 nt
Organism: Pelodiscus sinensis (Chinese soft-shelled turtle)
Lineage: Eukaryota; Metazoa; Chordata; Testudines; Trionychidae
Source: RefSeq, a predicted model, not a curated record